Molecule: ribosomal RNA, 244 nt
Filed under: uncultured bacterium
Lineage: Bacteria
Description: partial 16S ribosomal RNA
Rfam family: Bacterial small subunit ribosomal RNA
Source: RNAcentral
GACGAACGCUGGCGGCGUGCUUAACACAUGCAAGUCGAGCGGUAAGGCCCUUUCGGGGGUACGACGAGCGGCGAACGGGUGAGUGACACGUGGGUGACCUCGCCCUCAGCUCUGGGAGUAAGCCUGGGAAACCGGGGUCUAAUACCGGAUAUGACUCCAUGACGCAUGUUGUGGGGUGGAAAGCCUUGUGCGGCUGAGGAUGGGCCCGCGGCCUAUCAGCUUGUUGGGGGGGUGAUGGCCUACC